Molecule: ribosomal RNA, 250 nt
Filed under: uncultured bacterium
Lineage: Bacteria
Description: partial 16S ribosomal RNA
Rfam family: Bacterial small subunit ribosomal RNA
Source: RNAcentral
UACGAAGGGGGCUAGCGUUGUUCGGAAUUACUGGGCGUAAAGCGCACGUAGGCGGACCAUUAAGUCAGGGGUGAAAUCCCGGAGCUCAACUCCGGAACUGCCUUUGAUACUGGUGGUCUAGAGACCGAGAGAGGUAAGUGGAACUCCUAGUGUAGAGGUGGAAUUCGUAGAUAUUAGGAAGAACACCAGUGGCGAAGGCGGCUUACUGGCUCGGAACUGACGCUGAGGUGCGAAAGCGUGGGGAGCAAAC